CCGACAUACAACAUUUUUUAUUCUAAAUCCUGCAGGUAUUUCCCAUGUCUUUAUUUAGUGAUUUCUCUUAAUUUAGUGAAAUGGUUAGAAAGAUGAUGUUAUAGUAGAUUCACGGUAUGUUCACUUUUCUCUCCCACUUUCCCUUAGUUUCGAGGCAGACGAAGGGUAUGAGGCUGUUUUUCUUCGGGGACGGACGGCAGAUCUAUGUUCUUGCCCCCCCCCCCAAAAAAAAAUAACAAAAAACCCCCACAACGACAACCGGGAAGCAUGCUCAGGAAGCGUUGCYUAUUUCUCAUUCUCCAUCCAGGAAUGUGAACGGCUUGAAUAUUAAGGGUUCAGUAGGAUCAAGGGGAACGGACUCGGGCCGACCGUCUCCGAGGCCGAAGGAUCUGGACUCCGUAGAGGGCUGGGAACGUGUUCCGGCGAAAUCUGAGUCCAGCCUUUCGCUCGGUCAGGUGUGGAGUCCAGGCCCGGGGCAAGGAGAGGACGUCCACCCAAGCCUGAAAGCGCGUUGCCAUGGUUUCCCGAGCUYGAUUCCUCCCUACGCCCCCGGCUUCGCGCGCGGCGCUGGGGAUUCCGUAGUUUCCGCUUCCGGUCGCGAGCGCCGGGGUCGGGCGCGUUCUGAGGGUGCCGGGUCCUGAAGAGUGAAGACCUAAAUCCAAGGUCAUGGCAAAGCACCUGAAGUUCAUUGCCAGGACUGUGAUGGUACACGAAGGGAACGUGGAAGGUGCAUACAGAACCCUGAACAGGUAACUACGUAAAGGGAUCAGAAACAGGACUGGGUGGACUCUCUGGGAAGUGAGGUCGUUACCCACCCAUACACACCCAUCACGGAUUGUUCUCAAACCAGUGCCAACCCAGGUGGGGGUCUAGUCUUUUGAAACUUCUCAGCCCCACAGUUUAUUUUCUUAAAAAUGAAAUUCUUCCUAAAACCUAACUGUGAAGCUUAUUCAUCAAGCAAUACUCAUCCCUUUGAUAAUGAACCUGAGUUUUAUCCAGGACUUACAAAAGAAACCAAAGGGAAAAUUGAGAUGUGAAGUUGCUAGGAAGCAGUAACAUUGGUAAAUAGCUAAGGGAGGGAUUGGUGUAGGACAAGUUCAAUGGAAGAGAUUAAUUUAGAUUGGGAUCUUGGAGAAACAAGCAAGAGAUGGGAUGUCAUUAAAGGUUUACAGGAGGGUUACAGAUAAAC
Molecule: long non-coding RNA, 1189 nt
Filed under: Urocitellus parryii (Arctic ground squirrel)
Lineage: Eukaryota; Metazoa; Chordata; Mammalia; Rodentia; Sciuridae
Description: lncRNA (ENSUPAG00010001855.1)
Source: RNAcentral